This 274-nucleotide ribosomal RNA is filed under the name uncultured bacterium. RNAcentral describes it as "partial 16S ribosomal RNA". It matches the Rfam family "Bacterial small subunit ribosomal RNA", at positions 523 to 796 of the family's 1533-position model. The record is from RNAcentral.
CUACGGAGGGUCCGAGCGUUAUCCGGAAUCAUUGGGUUUAAAGGGUCCGUAGGCGGGAAUCUAAGUCAGUGGUGAAAUCUUGCAGCUCAACUGUAAAAUUGCCAUUGAUACUGGAUUUCUUGAAUUAGUGUGAAGUGGUUAGAAUGUGUAGUGUAGCGGUGAAAUGCAUAGAUAUUACACAGAAUACCAAUUGCGAAGGCAGAUCACUAACACUAUAUUGACGCUGAGGGACGAAAGCGUGGGGAGCGAACAGGAUUAGAAACCCUAGUAGUCC